This 264-nucleotide ribosomal RNA is filed under the name uncultured bacterium. RNAcentral describes it as "partial 16S ribosomal RNA". It matches the Rfam family "Bacterial small subunit ribosomal RNA", at positions 793 to 1055 of the family's 1533-position model. The record is from RNAcentral.
GUCCACGCCGUAAACGAUGUCUACUAGCCGUUGGGAGCCUUGAGCUCUUAGUGGCGCAGCUAACGCACUAAGUAGACCGCCUGGGGAGUACGGUCGCAAGAUUAAAACUCAAAUGAAUUGACGGGGGCCCCGCACAAGCGGUGGAGCAUGUGGUUUAAUUCGACGCAACGCGAAGAACCUUACCAGGUCUUGACAUCUAGAGAACUUUCCAGAGAUGGAUUGGUGCCUUCGGGAACUCUAAGACAGGUGCUGCAUGGCUGUCGU